Molecule: small RNA, 1080 nt
Filed under: Vigna angularis var. angularis
Lineage: Eukaryota; Viridiplantae; Streptophyta; Magnoliopsida; Fabales; Fabaceae
Description: Non-protein coding transcript
Source: RNAcentral
UUAUAACGUGGUGCAUGUGGUGGAAUUUAUUUUAUUUUAAGUUUUAAAUAAAAUACUUUCUAGGGUCAGCACCUCACAGCACCUCCCGUACUUCGCCAUCUCCGGAAACAAGUUCACGGAAAACUCACCAUAAUCACUGUACAAUAUAUAUCACUCUCACACUCUUCCUCUUCCAAAUCCUCUCCUGACUUCAAACCUUCCUCACCUUCUUCUUUUUCAUUCUAAUCAUAUUAUUUUUAUUUUUCUCAAACCACUGUCAGACAUUCUAACAAAACAACACCAACUCCUCCAUUAAUCGCUUUGCAGUAUCUGAAAAACUUUUCUUUCAAUUGGUUUAUGGGAAGAUCCGGUUGAUCCGAUCCUCAUGGGAGCGAUUUAGCCAAAAACCAUGGUCAUAGACUGUUUUCUUAAACAUUGCGCGGAGUGAUGGAAAUCAUUCAUAUCUAUGCCCUCUGAUGACUUGGGCUUUGGGCACCAGAAGAUAGCUCCAGGAACCGCUCAAUCACAUGCUUCUAAAACAAAUCAAGCUCUUGCUCCAUGCUUGAACCCUCCAUGGAGUGAACCUGAACCCCACGAAGAUUCAGAACAGAACAUUGAAAUUCUGUCGUAGUACGCAUUCUCACACUCAAGGUUUUCAACAGCUGUUAUAGUUUCGUCACGAUCCUUAGUACUAUGAGAAAUUAUGAACAAAGGCGACAGAUUCAACCAAUUAUAGCAACUCCAAAAACCUUUUAAGUUGUAGCCAAAAUCACGAUCGAACAAAUUUUCGUAACCUUGCUUACCCACACAGGAAGAUUACAGACCCAAUUGUCAAAAAAUAAAUUGAAUUGAAAAGUAUGACACUUUCUCUCCAAGUUUUCAGCUUUAGUGAGAGACAAUGGAAUUGAACUCCCCAAGAACGAGAAAUUCCACUACAAAAAGGGAAAGUGCAGAACUUUGAAUUGGGAGAACCCAUAAACGAAAUUCGAAUAGGAAUGGAACCCAAUUGAAAACGAGGGAGUGGAUUGAGAAUGUGGGAAAAAGUGAGAAACUUGGAAGAGGAAUGAGACAAAGGAUCGAAGAAAGGAAGAAGAAAAGAAU